CUGGGGUUGAAGGAAAUGAAACUUUUGGUGAAUGUAUCUUGAGUAACUCAUCCACUCUCUUCUCGUUAUCACUUAGAUCAAUAUCAAUACUGGGCUCAAGUUCUUCUAUUGGGCUCGUCUCAGUACUAAUCUCUUCUUCUAAAUUCUCUUUUUGGCUAGCAUUAGUACUAGCCUCACUCAUCUGAUCUUAGUAUGGGUUCUUAAGAAUCCUACCACUUCUAAGUUCAGUAAUUGCUUUGGCAUU
RNAcentral lists this long non-coding RNA (244 nucleotides) under Elaeis guineensis (African oil palm). RNAcentral's name for it is "long non-coding RNA (EGUI_LNC050887)". Lineage: Eukaryota; Viridiplantae; Streptophyta; Magnoliopsida; Arecales; Arecaceae. The record is from RNAcentral.